GGCCAGUGUGGUGUAGUGGUUUGAAUGUUGGACUGUGACUCUGGAAAUCAGGGUUCAAUUUGCAGCUUGGCCA
Molecule: non-coding RNA, 73 nt
Organism: Phrynosoma platyrhinos (Desert horned lizard)
Lineage: Eukaryota; Metazoa; Chordata; Lepidosauria; Squamata; Phrynosomatidae
Source: the annotation of a GenBank genome assembly